Molecule: RNA transcript, 750 nt
Organism: Ornithorhynchus anatinus (platypus)
Lineage: Eukaryota; Metazoa; Chordata; Mammalia; Monotremata; Ornithorhynchidae
Gene name: galectin-7-like
Exons: 5
Source: RefSeq, a predicted model, not a curated record
UCUCUUAGAGUUAAGAAGGACUCUUUUGCCAACAGAGAUGGCUAUCACAGAAGGUCUAGUAAAAUGCCUUGAAGUGAAGAUUGAUUCAGAGCAUAACAGUAGAUGCUGAAAUACAUAAAGUGCCAGGAUUAGUGGAAAGGAGAAGUGCUAUCAUAACAGAGGGCAAAGAAAAGCUGGAAGUGGUGACCCAAGAGCACAUUGAUUUGAAAGAGCAACCUAGAAGAACAAUACUACUGAGUACUGGAUGUGUAUGGUAUCUAAGGGCACUUGGAACAGCGGUGACAGCAACAGUCAUUACCUUGGUUCAGGCUGGACCUGCUGUGUGGAGACAACCCCAAUGCUGACAUCGCCUUCCACUUCAACCCGCGACUCGAUGCCCAGCACACCGUGGUCAUGAACAGUCAGGUGAGGGGCCGGUGGCUGCAUGAGAUCCGGACCCCUUGCCUGCCCUUCCAGGGGGGCCAACCCUUCCACCUGAGCAUAAAAGUGGAGGAAAAUUGCUUCAAGGUCUUCGUAGACCACCGGGAGUUCUGGAGCUUUGACCACCGGCUGGACGUGGAGGAGGUGAAGGCCCUGGAGGUGUCAGGGGCCGUGACUCUCUGCUCAGUGUGCACCUAAGGGCUCCCCGGGCAGACCAGAUCAGCAGCUGGAGAGGGGGGCGGCGACCUCCUGGAACAACGGUUUGGAGUGUGCAGGUUGGGGGGAGGGGUGUUGCUAGUCCUCCCGUGGGGGUGAGGAAGGGAUUUGCAA